CUUCGGGGUGUGACUGCGUACCUUUUGUAUAAUGGGUCAGCGACUUAUAUUCUGUAGCAAGGUUAACCGAAUAGGGGAGCCGGAGGGAAACCGAGUCUUAAUUGGGCGUUAAGUUGCAGGGUAUAGACCCGAAACCCGGUGAUCUAGCCAUGGGCAGGUUGAAGGUUGGGUAACACUAACUGGAGGACCGAACCGACUAAUGUUGAAAAAUUAGCGGAUGACCUGUGGCUGGGGGUGAAAGGCCAAUCAAACCGGGAGAUAGCUGGUUCUCCCCGAAAGCUAUUUAGGUAGCGCCUCGUGAAUUCAUCUCCGGGGGUAGAGCACUGUUUCGGCUAGGGGGCCAUCCCGGCUUACCAACCCGAUGCAAACUGCGAAUACCGGAGAAUGUUAUCACGGGAGACACACGGCGGGUGCUAACGUCCGUCGUGAAGAGGGAAACAACCCAGACCGCCAGCUAAGGUCCCAAAGUCAUGGUUAAGUGGGAAACGAUGUGGGAAGGCCCAGACAGCCAGGAUGUUGGCUUAGAAGCAGCCAUCAUUUAAAGAAAGCGUAAUAGCUCACUGGUCGAGUCGGCCUGCGCGGAAGAUGUAACGGGGCUAAACCAUGCACCGAAGCUGCGGCAGCGAACGUAUCACCCAAGACAACUUUGCGGAGUUGACGAUUGACGGAGCGAAGCGACGUCAAAGCGUUCAUUAAAGUCGAGUUGGCUUAGGGAUACGUUCGUUGGGUAGGGGAGCGUUCUGUAAGCCUGUGAAGGUGUGCUGUGAGGCAUGCUGGAGGUAUCAGAAGUGCGAAUGCUGACAUAAGUAACGAUAAAGCGGGUGAAAAGCCCGCUCGCCGGAAGACCAAGGGUUCCUGUCCAACGUUAAUCGGGGCAGGGUGAGUCGACCCCUAAGGCGAGGCCGAAAGGCGUAGUCGAUGGGAAACGGGUUAAUAUUCCCGUACUUGGUGUUACUGCGAAGGGGGGACGGAGAAGGCUAUGUUGGCCGGGCGACGGUUGUCCCGGUUUAAGCGUGUAGGUGUGUGUUCCAGGUAAAUCCGGUUCACUUUAACACUGAGGCGUGACGACGAGGCACUACGGUGCUGAAGCAACAAAUGCCCUGCUUCCAGGAAAAGCCUCUAAGCAUCAGGUAACAUCAAAUCGUACCCCAAACCGACACAGGUGGUCAGGUAGAGAAUACCAAGGCGCUUGAGAGAACUCGGGUGAAGGAACUAGGCAAAAUGGUGCCGUAACUUCGGGAGAAGGCACGCUGACAUGUAGGUGAAGUGAUUUACUCAUGGAGCUGAAGUCAGUCGAAGAUACCAGCUGGCUGCAACUGUUUAUUAAAAACACAGCACUGUGCAAACACGAAAGUGGACGUAUACGGUGUGACGCCUGCCCGGUGCCGGAAGGUUAAUUGAUGGGGUCAGCGCAAGCGAAGCUCCUGAUCGAAGCCCCGGUAAACGGCGGCCGUAACUAUAACGGUCCUAAGGUAGCGAAAUUCCUUGUCGGGUAAGUUCCGACCUGCACGAAUGGCGUAAUGAUGGCCAGGCUGUCUCCACCCGAGACUCAGUGAAAUUGAACUCGCUGUGAAGAUGCAGUGUACCCGCGGCAAGACGGAAAGACCCCGUGAACCUUUACUAUAGCUUGACACUGAACAUUGAGCCUUGAUGUGUAG
RNAcentral lists this ribosomal RNA (1658 nucleotides) under Salmonella enterica subsp. enterica serovar Indiana. RNAcentral describes it as "partial 23S ribosomal RNA". It matches the Rfam family "Bacterial large subunit ribosomal RNA", at positions 583 to 2141 of the family's 2925-position model. The record is from RNAcentral. Lineage: Bacteria; Pseudomonadati; Pseudomonadota; Gammaproteobacteria; Enterobacterales; Enterobacteriaceae.